CUUCCUGCUGCAGUAAGAGAUGAACAUUCCCUUUGGAGAGACACACUAGGUCACUACAAAUGGGCCACUGAAGAACCUGGCACUGGCCGCUAUCACUGGCCCCAGCUGCAGUGCUGCUUGCUGUUCACAGAUUAAGACCCUGGGGCUUGGAGACAGCAAGUGACUGUCCCAAGAUCACUCAGCUGAUAAGUGAUGGAGCCAGGAUUCCAGCCUAGACUGUCUGACUGCAAGGGGCUUGAACUUUUCACCGUAACGCAGAUUGUGAAUUCCAUGAAAGCAGGGACUGUGCUUUCUGAGUCUCUAGCCAAGCACCUGCCACAUGGGCUGGAAGAAAAUGUGGAAGAUUCCUCUCUUGGUGCUGAAGGCUUGAGUGGAAUUUGCAGAAGCCCAUUCCGGGAGCUCUAACUAGCUCUUUGCUGGCAAAUUUCCUGGAAAUUUAACCAUCAGCUCUUGUGAACUGGGACUAGCCAGCCCUGGCGUACCACUGGUGAUUGCGGAAGGCCUUGCUGAGAAAGGGACAUCUGAACAGGAAACUGAAAGAGCCUCAGCAGAGAUGAUUUGGCUGGAUGAGCAUUUUAUUUUGGCAUUUGAAGAUGGUGUUGGUGGAGCCUUCCAUCCAUAGACUGUAAAAAAAUACAAACAGCACAAAACCAUCCAGUUUUAGGUCCUGGAUCCUCUCCAGUUUCAGAUUAAGGCAGAAACCCUGCUCCUCCAGGAUUGCAGCGUGACCAGUGCCCUGAGAGCAGACGAGUGGGGAGCCAGAAUGACAGUGGCCGCCUCUGCACAGUGGAACACUGGCCCUUGACAGCUGUAGGGGUCUGGAGGAGCUGCUGGCCUGGCGCUUUGCAGGGCUUGUGCUGAGAACUCUUCUCCUUUUUUGGAAAACAAAUCAAAUCCUGCAAGGAAACCUCAGCCUGGACAGAUUUUCCUUGAGAACAAUCCACUCUGAUGUGUGCCUCUCCUUGGUGGCUUUCUGCCACAACCUUUGAAAGUUAAGGCCACUUCAUGCUGCUGUAGGCCACUUCUCUGAGGAGCCCCAGAGUCGCUGAAUCUUGCAAGUGCUGACUGAAAGAAGCCUCCACUUGCCUAACAAAGGGGAAAGAUGACUUAAAUACUCCUUCUCAUCCACCGACACAACCCAAUGGUCCUAUAGACACAAUUACAUCUAACAAGUAUUUUGGGUGUGUUUAAAGCAUGGGCUAGUUAUGAAGGAGAGGAAGGGAUGGUGGGAGCUUUCUUAUUUGCUUUUAAAAUUCUGUAUUUGACAGGAAUACUCUGUGCUGGCAUAACAACGGGACUCUAGCGAACAGUAGCUUUUAUAGGAUAAAAGUUUAGUUCUGGCCAGGCAUGGUGGCUCAUGCCUAUAAUCCCAGAACUUUGGGAGGCCAGGGCGGGCAGAUCAUUUGAGUUCAAGAGUUCGAGACCAGCCUGGUCAACAUGGUGAAACCCUGUCUCUGCUAAAAAUUGAAAAAAAAUAGCUGGGCUUGGUGGCGUGCGCCUGUAGUCCCAGCUACUUGGGAGACUGAGGCAGGAGAAUCGCUUGAACCCAGGAGGCAGAGGUUGCAGUGAGCCGAGAUUACACCACUGCACUCCAACCUGGGAGACAGAGUGAGACUCCAUCAAAAAAAAAAAAAAAAGAAAGAAAGAAAGAAAGUUUAGUUCUGCUUCAUGGACUAGCCCAGAGGUUGUCUGGUAGUCAUUAGUCUGAUAGGGUGGUCCUGCCACUCUCAUUGUAUAUUUCCCUGCUCAGGGUCUCACUCAAACCUCUGUAUUCCAGUUAAAGGAAAGGGGGAAACAAAAGUGUUUGCCCAAGGUUCUCACAUCCCAUUAGCCCAAUACUGGUAGCAUAGCCACCUCCAGUUGCAAGGGAUAUCGGGAAAUGUAGUCUCCAGUGGCAUGCCUAUGUGCCUAGCUAAAAAUAAAAAAAUUCUAUCACUAAAGAACAGAUAUUAAUGGACAUGUCCUGGUCUCUGCCACCCUUUCUUUCACUUAUUCACCUACUCAAGGAAUUACUGAGUGCCAGUCAUAUUUUUGACACCGUUUUUACUCAGUUGCUUAUAAUCCAGCAAUGUAUAUGAACACAUGCUCAGCUAAAGUCACAUUGUGCUGCAUUCUCUAAUAAUUCAAAUGCUAUGGAUCUUCAGGGAAGGAAGGGCUCAUUUCUGUCUGGAGAGAUUUGUCCAUUUGUUUACAGAUUUAUUGAGCACUGUGGUCAGCAGCCUGAAGAUGGCCCCCAGUCAUCUCCACCUCCCAGAAUUCACAUCCUUGUGCAAUCUCCUUUCCUUGAAUGUGUGCUGGACCUAAUGACUCACUUCUAGCAAAUAGAAUACAACAAAAGUGACAAAAUGUCACUUUUGAGAUUAGGUUACAAGAGGACUGGGACUUCCACCUCACUCUUUCUCAGACUUCACUCUGGGGAAAUCCAGCUGCUGUGUUUUGAGAAAUAUUAUGGAGAAACUUCUGCGGCAAGGAAAUAAUAUCUUCAGUCAACAGUCAGCAAGGAUCCUAACGUCUGCCAGCACCAUGUGAUUGAGCUGGAAAGUCGAUUUUCUGAGGACUGCCAACAGCCACCCAAGUGAGCUGGGAAACAGAUCCCCCUGCAGUUGACCCUUGAGGUGACUGUAGCCUGACAGACACCUUGAUUACAGCUUUGUGAGAGAUCUGCACCCUAAUCACCCAACUAAGCUGCACCUGUACCUGAAUUUCUGACUCAGAGAAACUGUGAGAUAAUAAAUAUUGUGAUUUUCAAAUGCUAAGUUUUGGGGUAAUUUGUUAUGCAGCAAUAGAUGACUGAUACAAGUACCUACUGUUUUCAGGUAGUAUGCGAGGCCAUUAAAAUGUGAAAAAUGAAUGAUGCUUCAUUUUGUCACUGUGUCUUGGGAGAGGGGAAGACAGCAAUAUAUAUACAAACAUGGUGCUUAUGAUAGAAGGUGGUCAAUCCAGUGAUAGAGAGGUGCUGAGUGUGAAAUAGGAGCACAAAGGAAGAGCCCCUUAUCCAGAGGAGGAAGGGAGAUGAGGAGAGACAUCCUGGAGAAAACAAAUAUUUUCAGAGAAAAUUGAGGGAGGGGUCAUUCUAUGGAGAGGGGACAGAGUGACUAAUGCCUGGAGGGGAAACGGUACAGAAUCUGCUUGGGGAUGGAGCACUAUCAUUUUUGUGUAAAAGAGGUAAAGGAAGAUAAGGCUGGAGAAGUAACUAGAAACUAACCUAGUCUCAUGCCAGCAAUUUAUUUCUAUUUAUUUAUUUACUUUGAGAUGAGGUCUCACUUUGUCACUCAGGCUGGAGUCCAGUGGUGUGAUCUCGGCUCACUGCAGCCUCCGCCUCCUGGCCUCAAGGGAUCCUCCCACCUCAGACCCCAAGUAGCUGGGACUACAGGCGCCCACCACCAUGCCUGGCUUAUUUUUUUUUUUGUCUUUUUUGUACAGAUGGGGUUUUGCCAUGUUGCACAGGCUGGUCUUGAACUCCUGAGGUCAAGUGAUCAGCCCACCUUAGCCCCCCAAAGUGCUAGGAUUACAGGCAUGGGCCAGCAUGCCUGACCCACUAAUUUAUUUUUAAAUAUCAGUAUUAUGAAAUCCUGCCUUGAGUGAAAGGAGGUAAAAACAAGAGUUAAUGAAGGAACUGGCGUGUUCUCAAUAGUCCAACACCUGAAUUUUAAGAAACCAGUUUCAAUUACCUAUAAAACACUGACAAGUGUAAUUUGUUUCAUUGUUUUGCUCAUAAAAUUUGAGCCAGGAACAGUUGACAUAUUUCCAUGGAAUAAUUGUGGUUCCUAUUGAGAAACCAGCUUAGACAAGUUGUUUGAUGGUUUUACAACUGGGAAAUUGACCCUUUCAGCUUCAGGGUCUCAUGAGUCAAUAUUUUGAAAAUCUGAGGAGAAGUUUGGGAAGAAUUGUAUGUUUUGUUGUUGUUGUUGUUGUUGUUUGUUUGUUUGUUUGUUUGUUUGUUUUGAGACAGGGUUUCACUUUGUCACCCAGGCUGCAGUCAAUGGCGUGAUCUCCGCUCACUGCAGCCUUGACCUCCUGGGCUCAAGCAAUCCUACCACCUCAGCCCCUCAAGUAGCUAGGACUACAGGUG
This 4072-nucleotide long non-coding RNA is filed under the name Homo sapiens (human). Its description in RNAcentral is "HSALNT0008487". The record is from RNAcentral. Lineage: Eukaryota; Metazoa; Chordata; Mammalia; Primates; Hominidae.